GCCGGGGUAGCCGAGCUGGCCAAGGCGCAGGCCUGGAGAGCCUGUUCUCCGAAAGGGGAGCGGGAGUUCAAAUCUCCCCCCCGGCG
Molecule: transfer RNA, 86 nt
Filed under: Thermoplasmata archaeon
Lineage: Archaea; Methanobacteriati; Thermoplasmatota; Thermoplasmata
Also listed under: 6 other names
Description: tRNA-Ser
Rfam family: tRNA
About the family: Transfer RNA (tRNA) molecules are approximately 80 nucleotides in length.
Source: RNAcentral